Molecule: non-coding RNA, 27 nt
Filed under: Homo sapiens (human)
Lineage: Eukaryota; Metazoa; Chordata; Mammalia; Primates; Hominidae
Source: RNAcentral
UGAGGCCGCCCGGAGGAUCAAAACGGA